This 229-nucleotide long non-coding RNA is filed under the name Capsicum annuum. Its description in RNAcentral is "long non-coding RNA (CANN_LNC018931)". Lineage: Eukaryota; Viridiplantae; Streptophyta; Magnoliopsida; Solanales; Solanaceae. The record is from RNAcentral.
UGCUUCUAUUUCGAUUUGUACUUGUUGGGUAAUCUGACAACUCAAUAAAAUAUACUAAAUUACUACUUUACCGCUACUUAUAUAUAUACACACAAGCACAAUACUUGUUAAAAAUUCUUUUAAUUUCUCUUUAAUUUAUACAAACUAAUAAACCUAUUUAGUUUUCUAAAAGCCUAUAAGCCGAUAAAUUAAUAAAAUUAAAUCCUUUAAAUUUUCUCUCUAUUAAAUC